CCUGCAUGUUGGUACAGAUUCCUGAGAAGAAGCAUGUUUGACACGGCCAUGUGGUGUCAGACAUGUUUCUUCUCAGGAAUCUGUGCCAACAUGUGGA
Molecule: non-coding RNA, 97 nt
Organism: Podarcis lilfordi (Lilford's wall lizard)
Lineage: Eukaryota; Metazoa; Chordata; Lepidosauria; Squamata; Lacertidae
Source: the annotation of a GenBank genome assembly